RNAcentral lists this ribosomal RNA (269 nucleotides) under uncultured prokaryote. RNAcentral describes it as "partial 16S ribosomal RNA". It matches the Rfam family "Bacterial small subunit ribosomal RNA", at positions 524 to 792 of the family's 1533-position model. The record is from RNAcentral.
UACGUAGGGUGCUAGCGUUGUUCGGAAUUAUUGGGCGUAAAGCGCGUGUAGGUGGUUAGAUAAGUUGGAUGUGAAAGCCCUUGGCUCAACCGAGGAAGUGCAUCCAAAACUGUCUAGCUAGAGGACGAGAGAGGGAGGUGGAAUUCCUAGUGUAGAGGUGAAAUUCGUAGAUAUUAGGAGGAAUACCAGUGGCGAAGGCGGCCUCCUGGAUCGACCCUGACACUGAGACGCGAAAGCGUGGGGAGCAAACAGGAUUAGAUACCCCCGUA